This 427-nucleotide ribosomal RNA is filed under the name uncultured Oxalobacteraceae bacterium. RNAcentral's name for it is "partial 16S ribosomal RNA". It matches the Rfam family "Bacterial small subunit ribosomal RNA", at positions 355 to 774 of the family's 1533-position model. Lineage: Bacteria; Pseudomonadati; Pseudomonadota; Betaproteobacteria; Burkholderiales; Oxalobacteraceae. The record is from RNAcentral.
UGGGGAAUUUUGGACAAUGGGGGCAACCCUGAUCCAGCAAUGCCGCGUGAGUGAAGAAGGCCUUCGGGUUGUAAAGCUCUUUUGUCAGGGAAGAAAAGGUGAGGGCUAAUAUCCUUUGCUGUUGACGGUACCUGAAGAAUAAGCACCGGCUAACUACGUGCCAGCAGCCGCGGUAAUACGUAGGGUGCGAGCGUUAAUCGGAAUUACUGGGCGUAAAGCGUACGCAGGCGGUUAUGUAAGACAGAUGUGAAAUUCCUGGGCUUAACCUGGGGACUGCAUUUGUGACUGCAUAGCUAGAGUGUGUCAGAGGGGGGUAGAAUUCCACGUGUAGCAGUGAAAUGCGUAGAUAUGUGGAGGAAUACCGAUGGCGAAGGCAGCCCCCUGGGAUAACACUGACGCUCAUGUACGAAAGCGUGGGGAGCAAACA